Molecule: non-coding RNA, 127 nt
Organism: Triticum aestivum (bread wheat)
Lineage: Eukaryota; Viridiplantae; Streptophyta; Magnoliopsida; Poales; Poaceae
Source: Rfam
UAUGUACUCCCUCCGUCCCAAAUUACUUGUCUUAGAUUUGUUUAGAUGCAGAUGUAUCUAACGUGUCUAGAUACGAAUGUACCUAGACAAAUUUAAGACAAGUAAUUUGGGACGGAGGUAGUAUUUG